Notechis scutatus (mainland tiger snake) is the source of this 1994-nucleotide non-coding RNA. NCBI's taxonomy places the organism in Eukaryota, Metazoa, Chordata, Lepidosauria, Squamata, Elapidae. The record is from RefSeq and is a predicted model, not a curated record.
ACACAUCCUAAGACAUUAUUUUUAUACUUUUCUGCACGCAUUUCACAACUUACUUCUCUGUUCUUUCUUACUGACAGUCUCCACAUAUACCCGUGUACAUCUCAAACCUCUAUCCAUCAGCUAUUUUCUGUUCCCUAUUUCUCAUGGUUUUCAAAACUACAUACUUUGCAAAAUCACAUUCUACAAAACAGCUCAGCAGGAUUACAAAUAGCUCUGGUACAUUUUGAAAUCAUCCUGUCUAAAACUUUGGUUCAUGUCUCUUUUAUUCUGGGAUCUGCUAUCAUCCAAAGGCCUUGUUCAAUCUGAUAGAUCAAUAGCCUAUUUUUUCUUCCCACAGGUGUAUGAGGACAGCUCGCCUGAAAAGCAAUCCUGGCAUGGAAAGAUAUAGUCCGAGGAGUAACUCUUUGGUGGCACAGGAUGCUUUCUUGUUGCCCCCGCCCCCCCUAAAACGGAACAUCCGCGUCUGAGACCACAAUCCUGCACUGAGAGAAAUGCUAGCUUGCGAAAGACUACCCUUGCCUUUGAAAGCAACAGCAUUUGUGAUGCUCCUUUCAUCUGAGAAGGAACCGCUGGAUUGGACAAAAACAGGUCCAGAAAUCCCAUUGAAACCUCGUGGCAUAAAACUCUUUCCCCUGAAAAGCAAGGGCGGGCGAAACAGAAGCUGGCCCUCACGGAGACUGAGAACUUGCCCUUUUGGGAUUCCCAGGCUUUCUAAGCUGCCAAUAUUGAGAUUAAAGCCUGUGUAAUAUAUUGGGUGUGAAACCUCAACUAGGCAUGAACUCGUCCCAUUUUCACUAAGGUCUUUAGCGGUGGCAUCGAGGACCAGCUGCCAGGAUGAACAAACACCAGUUGAGGGUCCCUGCUAAAUCUCCUCUCACCCUCUCUGUCUGUCUGUCUGUCUGUCUCUCUUUUGUCUCACUCUCUCCCCUCCCUUGAAGCCCGUGAGAAUGGACCCACACUCAUUCCACAACAAAUAGCAUUUUCUAUAUCUGGAAGCAUUAGGAGGCAAUGAUUCCCACGACAGGAUGUGAGGUCUGACUAACAGGUGCUUGGAUUUGGCCAAGGGAGACAGCAGGGCUCCGAGAUGGGAAAAGGCUUUGCUGCAAGCAGAAUAAGGCUACCCCUUUUGCUUUUUACAUGGCGUGGAAGUCGCAGACAAUCAAAAUGAUAUCUUUAUUGCUAGGUUCAUGUCCUGGGCUAUAACAUAUCAAUCCCUGUCGAGUUUCUCUUGGAAGCACCUGGUAUUUCAAACUUGUUCUUUUUGUGUUUCUGGGUGCUGGACUGCAGCUGCUUAAAACAAGCAGAGAUUGAGAGAGUCCCUUACACUGUGUCUAAGACAUGUUGGCAUGGUUUGCUUGUCUUUAAUGUACCAUUAAGCAUUGUCUUGACACAAUAUGGGAACUGUAAAGCAUAGCAUGCGUUAUAAUAAAACACAUUUUCAAUUAUACACUUGCAGUAGGAGUUGAGAUGCAAGCAAACAGACCCAACUCUUGUGUUUUUGUUUGUUUGUUUUGGGCUUUGUUUUUGUCUCUGCCUUCAACUGGCAAUUAAACUUAAGACCAUUAUUUUCCCCCUCUCCUAUCAGCCAAUUAAAUUUUGUGUCUUCUAAUUUUUCACACACAAAAAAGUCUCCAUGCUGGUUUCUAAAGACAUUGAUUUUCUUGCUAUCACCUGGCGUUCAGACUUUAGUUCCAUUUAUCAAGAGGAACAUCAAGGUUGCAUAAACUGACUCUGUUACCAUAAGGCUCUCACCAUCCUGGCCCAUUGUUUUCCCUUUUAAAUAACUCAUUAGCAGGAUUUAACAAAUCCACCAUUACAUAUGUUUUGUGUCUCCAUAUUUUGAUCCGGAAGAUUAAGCAGAUGUUAUGAUUGAAAAUUGAAAAGUCCAAGGCUACUCUCGGCUGAAAGAACGAGGGCAGCCUCAAAGAACAAGCCAACAAUGAGAUUCAGAUCUUCAGAAAAACAUUUACGACCAAUAAACAGACUCCAACUUG